GUGAACCAGUACCGUGAGGGAAAGAUGAAAAGUACCCCGAUGAGGGGAGUGAAACAGUACCUGAAACCGGAUGCUUACAAGCUGAGGGAGCUCUUCGGAGUGACCUCGUACCUUUUGUAUAAUGGGUCAACGACUUAGUGUUGCAUGCAAGCUUAAACCGUUAGGUGUAGGCGUAGCGAAAGCGAGUCUGAAUAGGGCGACUGAGUAUGUAGCAUUAGACCCGAAGGCAAGUGAUCUAGGUAUGGGCAGGGUGA
This 254-nucleotide ribosomal RNA is filed under the name Prymnesium polylepis. Its description in RNAcentral is "partial Bacterial large subunit ribosomal RNA". It matches the Rfam family "Bacterial large subunit ribosomal RNA", at positions 490 to 748 of the family's 2925-position model. Lineage: Eukaryota; Haptophyta; Prymnesiales; Prymnesiaceae. The record is from RNAcentral.